Molecule: ribosomal RNA, 497 nt
Filed under: uncultured bacterium
Lineage: Bacteria
Description: partial 16S ribosomal RNA
Rfam family: Bacterial small subunit ribosomal RNA
Source: RNAcentral
GACGAACGCUGGCGGCGUGCCUAAUACAUGCAAGUAGAACGCUGAAGAGAGGAGCUUGCUCUUCUUGGAUGAGUUGCGAACGGGUGAGUAACGCGUAGGUAACCUGCCUGGUAGCGGGGGAUAACUAUUGGAAACGAUAGCUAAUACCGCAUAAAAUGGAUUAUCGCAUGAUAAUCCAUUGAAAGGUGCAAAUGCAUCACUACCAGAUGGAACUGCGUUGUAUUAGCUAGUUGGUGGGGUAACGGCUCACCAAGGCGACGAUACAUAGCCGACCUGAGAGGGUGAUCGGCCACACUGGGACUUGGACACGGCCCAGACUCCUACGGGAAGCAGCAGUAGGGAAUCUUCGGCAAUGGACGGAAGUCUGACCGAGCCACGCCGCGUGAGUGAAGAAGGUUUUCGGAUCGUAAAGCUCUUUUGUAAGAGAAGAACGAGUUUUAGAGUUGAAAGUUCACACUGUGACGGUAUCUUACCAGAAAGGGACGGCUAACUACGUG